GCAAGUAUUCCUAGAUGAUUGCUCUUGCUAAUUUAGUGAGAGAGGAAAGUCCGGACUCUAUGUCGGUCUCGAAUAUUUCGAGAUAGGUGCCAGUGUGAACUGGAAGGGAGUGAUCUUUUGGUUAAAAGGGCAACAGAAAGUUAUACCGCCUCGAAAGAGGUAAGGGUGAAAUGGUGGUGUAAGAGACCACCGGGUAUUGUAGUAAUACAAUAUUGCGAGGCAACCCCCACCUAGAGCAAGGUUAAAACCGCUUAGAUAGAUAAUCAUCAUAAACAGAAUUCGGCUUAUUGGGUGCUUGCGCAC
RNAcentral lists this RNase P RNA (303 nucleotides) under Patescibacteria group bacterium. Its description in RNAcentral is "RNase P RNA component class A". It matches the Rfam family "Bacterial RNase P class A". From Rfam's summary of the family: Ribonuclease P (RNase P) is a ubiquitous endoribonuclease, found in archaea, bacteria and eukarya as well as chloroplasts and mitochondria. Its best characterised activity is the generation of mature 5'-ends of tRNAs by cleaving the 5'-leader elements of precursor-tRNAs. The record is from RNAcentral.